GGGGAAGGCGCCUUCUGAAUGGCCUCUCCUCCGGCUUGCAGCGCCAGAGAGCGGCUGUCCACCAUCCGCGCCCGACUUUCAGAGCACCAAUAAAUGGUCCCUUUGAAGGUCCGAGUCUCCAGCGGUGGCAGGAAACUGCUCGCGCCCAUGAUUCCAACAGUAGUUACUUCUUGCAGACUGCGAUCUUUUGUGGAAGGAGGAUACCCGUCCAUUCUGCUCACCUCUCUGUAUUUCCACUGCCCUCGUCAUCUCUGUCUUGCACCAUCCCAGAGUUGACCAGCUGGUCUCCUGCUUCCGCUUGGCUCACCGACACUCUCUCCAAUCCAAAUUCUCUGCACCGUGGCCAGGUUGAUAAAGAAACCAAACCUAACCAACCAACAAAAAUAAACCUUAAACCAAGUUGUGCCGCUCAGUUCCUUACCUCCAGAGUCCUUAGAAUCAAAUCCACACUGUUGACCACAGACAAGAAGGCCCUGCAAGAUCUGGCCCUGCUGGUUUCGCAGACCUCAUGGGAACAACCCUCUCCCUCAUUGAUUCCCUUCCAGAACCUUCUUUCUGUAUCACAAACAGACCAACCUCUUUCCUGCCUUCGAGCCUUAAUGCAGGUUGUUCCUGCAAAUCAGGGGCCUUGCUCACUUAUUACCUUGUUUAUUUAUUUAAUUGUUUGUUGCAUCUCUUAUUCUUCCUCUCUCCCGUGAUGAAUUAUAAGUGCCCUGAAGGAGAGGAUAUUGUCUGGCCUGUUCAGUGUCCAAUUUCUGGCACCCACUACAGUCCCUGAGUCAUGGCAGAUUAAGUGUGUGUGUGUGUGUGUGUGUGUGGUUAUCGGAUGACGAAGUGACUCCUAAUUCCAUUAGCAGAACCGGGACGUACAGAGGGGAAGCCAAGUUUGGGGGAAAGUGGUGAUGCACCGUGUUAGCGGGCCGUCCAGGCAGGACGUCCAACGGACAGGUCAACAGGCGUCCUCCCAACUUUUGCAGCACGUCGCUGUUCCCCAAGGCCCUGACCCCGUACUGCUUUAUGUUGGAAUUAUAUAUAGGUUAAAAUGGCUUUCGUACAUUAGCCCCUUCAAACCUCUCUACAAUCUCGGGAGGGAGUAGAAUUAUUAUUCCCAUUUUACAGAUGAAAAGCGGAAGGUCAGAGAUUCUUGUCCAAGGCACACACAGCUGGAAGCAUCCAAGUCCAGAUUUGGACCUGAGUAUUUAAAUUCCCAGAUCGUUGUAUUUUAUUGGGCUUCUGGGAGUCAUACCCCACUUCUCCAUCCCCAUCGGUGAGCUAUAAGGGUCAUGGAUCAUAUUGCAAAGCGCUUCCAUUUUGAUGCUGAUCAGAGGGAGUGUUAGCCUGAUGGCCAGGGGAAUUCAGAACCCUCGUACGUGUGUAUGUACGUAUACAUGUAUGUGUGUGUGUAUAUAUAUAUAUAUAUAUAUAUUUUUUUUUUCCUCCCUAAGAUCUUAAAACCUUGAGAAAGGCAGAAGAACUAGGAAGAGAAAAAAAUAAAAGAGAGGAAACUAAAAGUCCUCAGAGGAAGGAAAUGGAAAGGAACAAAGGUAAAGUUAUAAUCUAAAAGGAGGCGAAGGAUAUUUUUGGAUUCUUCUUGUUGUUUGGCAAGGUUACAAACAAUAAGAAGCGGGUAAUGAGAUGAAUCAGGCACAUAGAGCAAAAGCAAGAAGGCUGAUAGUUGAUGAGAAAAAAAGAGGAGAAAACAGCCCCCAGGGCUGCGGGGAACAGGAGAGGCUGGCGGGAGGCGCUCUCUGAGAGCAGCAUGGGGAUGCUGUGGCCAAUUACAUGAUGCCCCCUGUCAGCCUGGCACGUGGUGGCUGUUUAGGAGAGAUGAAAGGAGGAAGAUGUUGGGCCCUCGACGUCAGUUUGCUGAUGGCAGAGAUGAAGAAGGGCAAGGAGAGGGGCUGGCCCCGUGGCCGAGUGGUUAAGUCCGCGCGCUCCGCUGCAGGCGGCCCAGUGUUUCGUUGGUUCGAAUCCUGGGCGCGGACAUGGCACUGCUCAUCAUACCACGCUGAGGCGGCGUCCCACACGCCACAACUGGAAGGACCCACAAUGAAGAAUAUACAACUAUGUACUGGGGGGCUUUGGGGAGAAAAAGGAAAAAAAUAAAAUCUUAAAAAAAAGAAAAAAAAGAAGGGCAAGGAGAGCUGCUCUAUGGAGUGUGGAGGUGGGGACAGCUUCUGAGUGGGUGGGGAUGUAGAUGCCAUGGAGUUCCAGUCUCAGCCUUGACGCUGAUUAGCUGUGUGACCUUGGCCGGGUUACUUAGCCUCUCUGAGCUUCAUUCGGCUCCACAUAAGUCCAAGCAUAGUACUAUGCACUUCAUAGGGUUGUUGUAGGAUUAAAUGAGAUGGUGUGUCAAAAUGCCAUCCUCAGUGCCUGGCCUCUGGCAGGCACUGAAUAGCCAUUGUUUUCCCCACUGAUCAAAGCAGUGGGUGGGGGCUCUGAUCACCCUAGGACCUGCAACUGAGUCGGAGUAGGAACCGUGACCUUCCGUUGCGUGGGGCACCAUCAGCUCCUCAGAAGGCAGUAAGCUGUUGGGAGCAGCUGCCUCCUCCCCGCUUGGAUGAGGCGGCUCCAUCUAGAUGGUGCGAUUGGGGUGGGUUUCGUCCGGG
Molecule: long non-coding RNA, 2609 nt
Filed under: Equus caballus (horse)
Lineage: Eukaryota; Metazoa; Chordata; Mammalia; Perissodactyla; Equidae
Description: lncRNA (ENSECAG00000050584.1)
Source: RNAcentral